CAGUAGCCACGGUAAUACGUAGGGUGCAAGCGUUAAUCGGAAUUACUGGGCGUAAAGCGUGCGCAGGCGGUUUGUUAAGACAGAUGUGAAAUCCCCGGGCUCAACCUGGGAACUGCAUUUGUGACUGGCAAGCUAGAGUCUGGCAGAGGGGGGUGGAAUUCCGCGUGUAGCAGUGAAAUGCGUAGAUAUGCGGAGGAACACCGAUGGCGAAGGCAGCCCCCUGGGCCAACACUGACGCUCAUGCACGAAAGCGUGGGGAGCAAACAGGAUUAGAUACCCCUGUAGUCCCUGUCUCUUAUAC
This 301-nucleotide ribosomal RNA is filed under the name uncultured bacterium. RNAcentral's name for it is "partial 16S ribosomal RNA". It matches the Rfam family "Bacterial small subunit ribosomal RNA", at positions 509 to 807 of the family's 1533-position model. The record is from RNAcentral.